GCUUUCUCAACAGCUGGUGUAGCUACAGAGAAGUCAGCUUCCUUCAGAAAGC
Pan troglodytes (chimpanzee) is the source of this 52-nucleotide regulatory RNA element. It matches the Rfam family "MAT2A 3'UTR stem loop C". The record is from Rfam. Lineage: Eukaryota; Metazoa; Chordata; Mammalia; Primates; Hominidae.